GUGUUUGCUUUAGCAGCACACAUACUAAAAUUGGAAUGAUAACAGAAGAGAUUAGCACGAUGCAUAAACAAGGAUAACAUGCACAUUUUUGAAGCAGUCGAUAUUUUA
Molecule: small nuclear RNA, 108 nt
Organism: Sorex araneus (European shrew)
Lineage: Eukaryota; Metazoa; Chordata; Mammalia; Eulipotyphla; Soricidae
Source: Ensembl